Mus pahari (shrew mouse) is the source of this 137-nucleotide small nucleolar RNA. RefSeq annotates it as small nucleolar RNA SNORA48. Lineage: Eukaryota; Metazoa; Chordata; Mammalia; Rodentia; Muridae. The transcript has a single exon. The record is from RefSeq and is a predicted model, not a curated record.
CCCUUCUGGCAAUGGGUGAAGAGACACCUUGUUGGUGGUGGUGUUCUUUUAUCAGUCAGGGGCAGAGUAGAUGGCAGUUCAUCCUAGCUUGAUAACUAGCUUGGUGGCCAAACCUGUUUUAUACCUAGGACAUAUAA